UACGUAGGGGGCAAGCGUUGUCCGGAUUUAUUGGGCGUAAAGAGCGUGUAGGCGGCCAUGCAGGUCCGUUGUGAAAACUCGAGGCUCAACCUCGAGACGCCGAUGGAAACCGCAUGGCUAGAGUCCGGAGGAGGAGAGUGGAAUUCCUGGUGUAGCGGUGAAAUGCGCAGAUAUCAGGAAGAACACCCGUGGCUAAGGCGGCUCUCUAGUACGUGACUGACGCUGAGACGCGAAAGCGUGGGGAGCGAACAGG
Molecule: ribosomal RNA, 253 nt
Filed under: uncultured bacterium
Lineage: Bacteria
Description: partial 16S ribosomal RNA
Rfam family: Bacterial small subunit ribosomal RNA
Source: RNAcentral